Molecule: long non-coding RNA, 216 nt
Filed under: Fukomys damarensis (Damara mole-rat)
Lineage: Eukaryota; Metazoa; Chordata; Mammalia; Rodentia; Bathyergidae
Description: lncRNA (ENSFDAG00000033612.1)
Source: RNAcentral
AUGAGAGCGAACUGGAACCGUUCUGUUCAGAGACUGUGUCCUCCAGGAAGCCUGCCAAGAUGGGCUAUCCUUGUCUGCUGGACCCUCCCUCAGGCUUCCAGGCAUUCAGGAAGGAUUACUCUUCGAAUAGAUAUUGCAGGAGCCUUCAGUAUGUGCCAAAACCCCACCCCACCGCUGCCCUGCUCACCACAAAAAUAUAAGGUGUUCAACAACUAA